AAAAAGAUAAGCUAAAUAAAGCUAUUGGGCUCAUACCCCAAUUAUAGAAACAAAUUUUCUUCUUUUUA
RNAcentral lists this transfer RNA (68 nucleotides) under Mahanarva spectabilis. RNAcentral describes it as "tRNA-Met". The record is from RNAcentral. Lineage: Eukaryota; Metazoa; Arthropoda; Insecta; Hemiptera; Cercopidae.